RNAcentral lists this ribosomal RNA (393 nucleotides) under uncultured bacterium. RNAcentral describes it as "partial 16S ribosomal RNA". It matches the Rfam family "Bacterial small subunit ribosomal RNA", at positions 523 to 918 of the family's 1533-position model. The record is from RNAcentral.
AUACGGAAGGUCCGGGCGUUAUCCGGAUUUAUUGGGUUUAAAGGGAGCGCAGGCGGAGAUGCAAGCGUGACGUCAAAUUUCGGGGCUCAACCCCGUCUCGCGUCGCGAACUGCGUCCCUUGGUUGCGGGAAGGGGAGGCGGAACUCGUGGUGUAGCGGUGAAAUGCAUAGAUAUCACGAAGAACUCCGAUCGCGAAGGCAGCCUUCCGGCCCGUCAACGACGCUCAGGCUCGAAGGUGCGGGUAUCAAACAGGAUUAGAUACCCUGGUAGUCCGCACAGUAAACGAUGGACACCCGCGGUUUGGCCUGUAUGGCUGAGCCGCCAAGCGAAAGCGUUAAGUGUCCCACCUGGGGAGUACGCCGGCAACGGUGAAACUCAAAGGAAUUGACGGGG